RNAcentral lists this ribosomal RNA (438 nucleotides) under uncultured bacterium. RNAcentral's name for it is "bacterial SSU rRNA". It matches the Rfam family "Bacterial small subunit ribosomal RNA", at positions 343 to 797 of the family's 1533-position model. The record is from RNAcentral.
AGGAGGCAGCAGUGGGGAAUAUUAGUUAAUGUGCGAAAGCGCGAACUAGCAACGCCGCGUGUGCGAUGAAGGCCUUCGGGUCGUAAAGCACUUUUCUAAGGGAUGAGGAAGGACAGUACCUUAGGAAUAAGCCUCGGCUAACUACGUGCCAGCAGCCGCGGUAAAACGUAGGAGGCGAGCGUUAUCCGGAUUUACUGGGCGUAAAGCGCGUGCAGGCGGUUUGGUAAGUUGGAUGUGAAAGCUCCUGGCUUAACUGGGAGAGGUCGUUCAAUACUGCCAGACUUGAGGAUGGUAGAGGGAGGUGGAAUUCCGGGUGUAGUGGUGAAAUGCGUAGAUAUCCGGAGGAACACCAGUGGCGAAAGCGGCCUCCUGGACCAUUUCUGACGCUCAGACGCGAAAGCUAGGGUAGCAAACGGGAUUAGAUACCCGGGUAGUCCC